CCCUCCCGGCUUCUCCGAGCCGGCCGCUCCUCGGGCUCCCUCCCGGCUUGCGAUGAACGGUCUCCGUUACUGCGUCCAGAGUACGGUCGGGGAAACCGAGGCCCGCUCCUGGCCUGCGCAGCUUCUGGAUCCUUGGUCUUCGCUCCAGCGUGGGCACAGCUGUGCAGGCACAAGGUGUUCAUCAGAGCGUGGCCACCGAUGGCCCAAGCAGCACCCAGCCUGCCCUGCCAAAGGCCAGAGCCGUGGCUCCCAAACCCAGCAGCCGGGGCGAGUAUGUGGUGGCCAAGCUGGAUGACCUCAUCAACUGGGCCCGCCGGAGUUCUCUGUGGCCCAUGACCUUCGGCCUGGCCUGCUGCGCCGUGGAGAUGAUGCACAUGGCCGCACCCCGCUACGACAUGGACCGCUUCGGCGUGGUCUUCCGCGCCAGCCCGCGCCAGUCCGACGUCAUGAUCGUGGCCGGCACACUCACCAACAAGAUGGCCCCAGCGCUUCGCAAGGUAGGCCUCGUCCCCGCCGCCCAGCCGCCCCCAGAGUGAGCUGCGCACGGACCCCGUCUCUCUUCCAGGUCUACGACCAGAUGCCGGAGCCGCGCUACGUGGUCUCCAUGGGGAGCUGCGCCAACGGAGGAGGCUACUACCACUACUCAUACUCGGUGGUGAGGGGCUGCGACCGCAUCGUGCCUGUGGACAUCUACAUC
Molecule: small RNA, 697 nt
Filed under: Pongo abelii (Sumatran orangutan)
Lineage: Eukaryota; Metazoa; Chordata; Mammalia; Primates; Hominidae
Description: processed transcript
Source: RNAcentral